AACGAACGCUGGCGGCAGGCCUAACACAUGCAAGUCGAACGCUCCGCAAGGAGAGUGGCAGACGGGUGAGUAACGCGUGGGAACGUGCCCUUUGGUUCGGAAUAUUCCCGGGAAACUGGGAGCAAUACCGGAUAAGCCCUUCGGGGGAAAGAUUUAUCGCCAAAGGAUCGGCCCGCGUCAGAUUAGCUAGUUGGUGAGGUAAUGGCUCACCAAGGCUACGAUCUGUAGCUGGUCUGAGAGGAUGAUCAGCCACACUGGGACUGAGACACGGCCCAGACUCUUACGGGAGGCAGCAGUGGGGAAUCUUGGACAAUGGGCGCAAGCCUGGUCCAGCCAUGCCGCGUGGAUGAUGAAGGCCCUAGGGUUGUAAAAUCCUUUCGACGGGGAAGAUAAUGACGGUACCCGUAGAAGAAGCUCCGGCUAACUUCGUGCCAGCCGCCGCCGUAA
Molecule: ribosomal RNA, 447 nt
Filed under: uncultured bacterium
Lineage: Bacteria
Description: partial 16S ribosomal RNA
Rfam family: Bacterial small subunit ribosomal RNA
Source: RNAcentral